AUGAAGUUCGUGUUUCACUUUCUCUGGCCACCCCUUUGCCUUUUCCUCAAGCUCCUCCUCCAAUUGCUUUAGAUGUUCCUCGGUAAAUGGAAAAGCAUCUGCCCCGUAACUUGUCAAGUGCAUCCGAGCUUCCUUGGUAAUGGUCCGGCCACUUGGGCCAAUCGCUACAGCUGCAGGAAUGCCUUGAAUUUUGAAUUUCCGACUCAGGAUUUGUUUCCUUUCGUCACCAAAUGGAAGGGCUAACCAAGGCAUUUCUGAAUAGAACUCGUCAAAGGUGGAUUGAUCGCUGUCACUUGAGAUGAAGAUCACCUCAAAUGCAUUGUCUUUUGCUUUAAUUGUGUGGUAUGCUUCAAUUAGCUUGGGUAAAAAGGCACGACAAGGAGGGCACCAUUGAGCUGAGAAGUAAAGAAGAAUGUUCUUUCCAACUAGAUCAGACACUCGGACCUAAUCAAAGAGCAAACCAUUUGAAUGAUAAAAAUACCUUUGCUAAUGAAUUCAAUUCGAGAUAAUAAGCAAGUUAUUGAAAGUAAUGCAAUAACAACAUGCGAUGUUAGCACAGAACAAAAAAUUACCUUGGAUCCACUUUUGUCAAUCACAAAAUCAUUUUCCCCAUUAACCAAAACUGACUCAAGCGUCUGCGAUUCCAGUUUUGCCUUUUCAAUUUCAGCUAGCUCCUCAAGCUUUUCCGGUGUAAAUGGGUAGGCUUCAAUUCCAUGGUCUUCGAUGAGUUCAGCUACAUUUGGGUUCAAAGUCUUCCCAUCUUGGCCAAUUAUGACAAGAUUAGGAAUGGUUCUAAGUUCAAAAUACCGCGCUAGCUUCUCGCAGCUCUUGUCCUUAAACGGCAAUGCCAACCAAGGCAUUGUCUCAAAACUCUCUUUGAAUUAGGACUACUUCAAGUUCUCUCCUUUUUCCUUGAGCCUCUUGUACAAUUCCACUAGUUUAGGAGUGAAUUCACGGCACAAUCCUAUGAGCAUGGAUUGAGAAAUACAAGCCAACCAAUUUUCCUUCAAGGUCCAACACAGGGAUCUGCCAUUACAGAUAGCAAAAAUGUAAAUUAUGGCAUCAUCAUUAAAAAUAGCAAAAAAGUGAAUGAUGGCAUCAUCAAUUCAAUUUCAAAACUAGCUAAUUGAAUGAGCCAUCUACCUUUUUUCCAUCAUUUGAAAUCACAUAAUCACGUGAGCUUGAAACCAAGAUAGAGCUUAUGGUUUGAUUCUUCUUAGCAUUCUCUUCUUGCUCUUUCAGGAAAUUCAGUCUAUCAAGGUUGAACGGAUACCCAUCCACGCCAUGUUCCUUGACAGUGCUGACUCCAUUAUCGCAGGAAACCUUGCCAUUCGUAUCAAAAAUGACAAGAUUAGGGAUCCCUCUUACUUUGAACACUUCCUUAAGACGUUUGCGGGUCUCCGUAUCAGAGAAGGGAAUAGCAAGCCAUGGCAUUUCGGAGAAGUAUGUGUUGAAGGAUUCAUCGUCUCUGUCAGAAGAAAUGAAGACCACCUCAAAGUCCCCUUUGGAUGAUAGCUGUUCAUAGACUUCUACCAACAACGGAGUGAAAUUACGGCACGGCCCGCACCACGAACCAGAGAAGUAGAAUCCCACAAUCUUCCCAACCAAAUUGCUGACCUUAACCUAAAAAUUAACGUGGAACAUUAUCAGAAAAAAGUUUCAGCCCUUAACGAAUCAAAAUCUUAUUUGUGGUUUCUUUCUCUUGCCAGUGAGAGAAGCAACAAAAAAAAGAGCUUUUUCUUAAUCAUAAAAGCUUCAGAAAUUGGUCAUAAAUUUGUUCUUCAGCAAGGCUUGCAGUCUAAUUUAAACAUGAUAUUCAUCUUAAUUACUAGAAAAACCUACAAGUUCAUAUAAAAAAAGACGUCAACUUAUAAUAAGACAAGAAGAAGUAGAAUUGAAUAAGAUCAGAGAAACUCAUAUGCUAAAAGCAGUACCUGAUCACCAUUGUUGCGGAUGAGAAAGUCCCUCUCUUCUGAAGAAAGAAGCUUUGAAAGGUCGAGAGAAACGUCUUCGGUGGCCAUAGCUAGCUAUGUGAUGAACUACUCAAAAGGCUAGAACAAUUGCCAAUCCCAGUUGCUGUGUAAUGGAACUUCCAGGCUAAGGCUCCUUUAAAGUACCUGCUCGCCCGGCCUAGGAAAUUAUUAUUCUAAUUGUCAACGACGACUACAAGGCUUGGCUGGUGUCGAGUGAUGACGAAGACAUUAUGACGUAGGUCCGCGGAAGCGGUAUUCGCAUUAUUACGUGCUUCUAUAAAUCUCCUAUUGCUUCAUUUUUUUUUUAACAUGUUUUUUUUAAUCUCCUUUUUUUGUUUGUAUUCUAGUUUUUUAAAAAUUAUGAGUUUGUUAUUAAAUAUAUUUUUUGUUUUUAUCUCUUUAAUAAAAUCUUUAUUAAAUGUGACUUGAUGAUAACAACAUGUAAUUUAAUAAAUUGGUUAAGAUCCAAACUUAAUAGAUUCCUUCUUAUCCUUCUGAUAAAGUUUUUUAAUAGUGAAACUCUCAACUCCUUUUGAUUUAAAAAAUAAUGAUGUUACGUGUAUUUAAUAAUUAUAAAUCAAAUUAUAUUAUGUAUUUGAGCCACGUCAUGACUCUAUUUCAAUAAAAAAAAUCCUUAUAUUUUUAGGAGAGAAAGAAAGAGUUUUUAAAUACAAUAUUUUAUCAUAAUUUUGACCUUUCCCUACUCAAAAGUGCACUAUACAUAUAUAUCAUUAUCUUUUAUCGAACACUCCAAAUGUAUUUAAAUUUGUCAAUUAAUUGUAAAUAAGGGAAGUUAAUGAAUUUCCACUCUAAAAUGUUCAAAUUCAUUGUUUGCUUUCAACUUUGUUCUAAUUAAAUCAGGUUAAGUAUAUGACUUUUUUCAUUAGUGGGUAUCCACUAGAUAUUCUAUUUGAUCUAUUUUUUUAAUUAAUUUUAUAAAAAUAAAACCUAAACUAAAAAAAUAAAAUAAUUCCUCCUUCAUGAAUCAUAAAACUAUGAAAUUAAAUUAAAUAAAAAAAUAAGAGAUGUUGUUAGUUUAGUGUUGUUGCAAAGUGGACAAAAACUCAAAAUAUCAAGGAUAAGAAUAAUAUUAUAGUUUUAUUUUUAAAAUUUUUUUUCAAUAUAAUCACUAAAUAUUUUUUUUAAUUUCAUCUUUGAUAUUUUAUUAAUCAAGAAUUUGGACUUAUUGGUUGGUUUUCUAUAAUCUUUUAUGUGGGGGAAAUUAAAUGUCUCUACAUUAGGGUCAUGUUUGAUUUUACAAAAUAAAAUCCUAUUUUAUUGCAUAUAAAAAUUUAAGACUUGGGGCCAAAAUUGACCGUUAGCAACAAUUUCAAGAUUCUUUAUUUGAGAAAUGUUCAUUUCUCCAUAUUUUACUUUAAAAAUUUUAUAUUUUAAUCCAAAACUCUAUUUUGAUCACAUUUCAGUCUCUAGCUUUAAACAAAAGAUAAAAAUUCAUUGAAAAUAAUGAAAGAGAGAGAAACACAUAGAGUGACAAAGUUUUGUUAGUAAAAAUAACUAAAAUUUGUGUCAAUGUGUUCUUCUUGAUAAGAAGAGUGCUACUAUGGUGUUUUUGACUUUUUAUAUAUAAAAAAAAAACAGAUCGAGAUUUGGAGAGUUUUUUUUUAAGGUUAAACUUUGUGUUUUAAAAUUAUUUUAGGGUUUUUUUAGUUGAUGGAUUAGUUUAUAGACAAUCUAAAAGUGUCUAUUAGAUAUUUUUAGAUAAAAAUAUAUUAAAAAAUAAAUUUUAAAAUAAAAAACAAUCCAAUUCUUCAUCCACCUUUCCAAUGAUAGGAAAAUUAAGCAAGUAAAAUGAUGUGUCAUUUACUUUAUUUAAAGAAAAAACAAUAAAGGAUAGAUGUUAUGUCAUCCAUCAAAGAAAACAUAAAAAUAUAAAAUGGCUCUUCCAUCUUUUGAAUAAUUGAGCCAUUUGGCCCCACAAACAUGGCUUGUUUUGGGCCAUUAUUUUUAAAUUUUUGGAUCUUUAUCCUUGAGUUUUAAUUUUAUUUCAUUAAAAUUAAUUAUUUAAGAACACAUUAAGGAUGUUAUUUUAAUAAAUACUUAAAUUAUUAAAAAUAUACAUGAGAUAUUAUUUUAUUAGAUACCAUUUAAUUUUUACUUUGUUUUUAAAUAAAAUUAUAAUAUUUUUUUUAUAAUAUUAGUAAGGGUUUUUUUGGCAUAACCCAUCAUGAUCUUUCUUAUCUUUGCACAUACGCUGUCAAAGACUAUAAUAAUAGAUUCCAUGAAAAAGAAACUGCGAGAACAUGAAACAUGCAUUUGAACAUGAAAAGGUAAAUAAGCUGAACAUAAUUAAUGGGCCAUAGAAGCGAAGGUUUUUUCAAUGGCUUCAAACUUCUUGGCAGCGUGCUUCAUUGUUGUCGCCGAAUUUCUUCGCAGUGUGCUUGCUUGAAACGUGGAUGUAUCACAUGGAUGAUAUUUUCGUUCUUUGGACAGGAGUGAUAAGCAUUUUCCUUUAGGAAUGACAAAAACCUCAUAACAAGUGAUUGAAAUUUGAGAACAACCAUCAACCAUGGAUUCCCAGGUUUCAAAUGGGUCACAGGAUUCACAUAAACACAGCCAAUCCGGUUAUUUAUGUUUGGUAUCGAAAUACAAGACAUGAAAAUCCUUCAGCAACACGCCUCUUAAUUAGAUAUCAAUAGCAGGAAAGACAUCCACUAUCUUCACACACAUGCCACAAACACCUUACAUCGCAAACUUAUUACGGCAGAAACCCCAUAAAACCAGAUACCAGGUGCGCUUGCCCGCUUAAGCUCUGCGGCACACAUCACCAUCGCAGAUCCUUCCUUCCUUUCCCUUUUCAGUUCCAGUAUCUUCAUCUUCCUUCAAAGCACACUUAGGGUGAAGAUCAAAGUCACAUUGUUUGCAAUAGAAAGACCAACCAUGUCCUGUUCCACGACAGCCAUUGCAAACAUAUGCUUUGCGUUUAGUACGAAUCAGCUCAUGCUCAGUAUGAAGUUCGUGUUUCACUUUCUCUGGCCACCCCUUUGCCUUUUCCUCAAGCUCCUCCUCCAAUUGCUUUAGAUGUUCCUCGGUAAAUGGAAAAGCAUCUGCCCCGUAAGCUGUCAAGUGCAUCCGAGCUUCCUUGGUAAUGGUCCGGCCACUUGGGCCAAUCGCUACAGCUGCAGGAAUGCCUUGAAUUUUGAAUUUCCGACUCAGGAUUUGUUUCCUUUCAUCACCAAAUGGAAGGGCUAACCAAGGCAUUUCUGAAUAGAACUCGUCAAAGGUGGAUUGAUCGCUGUCACUUGAGAUGAAGAUCACCUCAAAUGCAUUGUCUUUUGCUUUAAUUGUGUGGUAUGCUUCAAUUAGCUUGGGUAAAAAGGCACGACAAGGAGGGCACCAUUGAGCUGAGAAGUAAAGAAGAAUGUUCUUUCCAACUAGAUCAGACACUCGGACCUAAUCAAAGAGCAAACCAUUUGAAUGAUAAAAAUACCUUUGCUAAUGAAUUCAAUUCGAGAUAAUAAGCAAGUUAUUGAAAGUAAUGCAAUAACAACAUGCGAUGUUAGCACAGAACAAAAAAUUACCUUGGAUCCACUUUUGUCAAUCACAAAAUCAUUUUCCCCAUUAACCAAAACUGACUCAAGCGUCUGCGAUUCCAGUUUUGCCUUUUCAAUUUCAGCUAGCUCCUCAAGCUUUUCCGGUGUAAAUGGGUAGGCUUCAAUUCCAUGGUCUUCGAUGAGUUCAGCUACAUUUGGGUUCAAAGUCUUCCCAUCUUGGCCAAUUAUGACAAGAUUAGGAAUGGUUCUAAGUUCAAAAUACCGCGCUAGCUUCUCGCAGCUCUUGUCCUUAAACGGCAAUGCAAACCAAGGCAUUGUCUCAAAACUCUCUUUGAAGUGUUUUUCCUCAGAGUCUAGAGAUAUUAGGACUACUUCAAAGUUCUCUCCUUUUUCCUUGAGCCUCUUGUACAAUUCCACUAGUUUAGGAGUGAAUUCACGGCACAUCCUAUGAGCAUGGAUUGAGAAAUACAAGCCAACCAAUUUUCCUUCAAGGUCCAACACAGGGAUCUGCCAUUACAGAUAGCAAAAAUGUAAAUUAUGGCAUCAUCAUUAAAAAUAGCAAAAAAGUGAAUGAUGGCAUCAUCAAUUCAAUUUCAAAACUAGCUAAUUGAAUGAGCCAUCUACCUUUUUUCCAUCAUUUGAAAUCACAUAAUCACGUGAGCUUGAAACCAAGAUAGAGCUUAUGGUUUGAUUCUUCUUAGCAUUCUCUUCUUGCUCUUUCAGGAAAUUCAGUCUAUCAAGGUUGAACGGAUACCCAUCCACGCCAUGUUCCUUGACAGUGCUGACUCCAUCAUCGCAGGAAACCUUGCCAUUCGUAUCAAAAAUGACAAGAUUAGGGAUCCCUCUUACUUUGAACACUUCCUUAAGACGUUUGCGGGUCUCCGUAUCAGAGAAGGGAAUAGCAAGCCAUGGCAUUUCGGAGAAGUACGUGUUGAAGGAUUCAUCAUCUCUGUCAGAAGAAAUGAAGACCACCUCAAAGUCCCCUUUGGAUGAUAGCUGUUCAUAGACUUCUACCAACAACGGAGUGAAAUUACGGCACGGCCCGCACCACGAACCAGAGAAGUAGAAUCCCACAAUCUUCCCAACCAAAUUGCUGACCUUAACCUAAAAAUUAAUUUCGAAAAUUAUCAGAAAAAAAAUCAGCCCUUAACGAAUCAAAAUCUUAUUCAUGGUUUCUUUCUCUUGCCAGUGAGAGAUGCAACAAAAAAAAAGAGCUUUUUCUUAAUCAUAAAAGCUUCAGAAAUUGGUCAUAAAUUUGUUCUUCAGCAAGGCUUUGCAGUCUAAUUUAAACAUGAUAUGCAUCUUAAUUACUAGAAAAACCUACAAGUUCAUAUAAAAAAAGACGUCAACUUAUAAUAAGACAAGAAGAAGUAGAAUUGAAUAAGAUCAGAGAAACUCAUAUGCUAAAAGCAGUACCUGAUCACCAUUGUUGCGGAUGAGAAAGUCCCUCUCUUCUGAAGAAAGAAGCUUUGAAAGGUCGAGAGAAACGUCUUCGGUGGCCAUAGCUAGCUAUGUGAUGAACUACUCAAAAGGCUAGAACAAUUGCCAAUCCCAGUUGCUGUGUAAUGGAACUUCCAGGCUAAGGCUCCUUUAAAGUACCUGCUCGCCCGGCCUAGGAAAUUAUUAUUCUAAUUAGUCAACGACAACUUCAAGGCUUGGUGUCGGGUGAUGACGAAGACCUUAUGACGUAGGUCCGCUGAAGUGGUAAUUCGCAUUAUUACGUGCUUCUAGAAAUCUCCUCUUGCUUUUUUAGCUUUUAUUUUGAAUAACGCAGACAUGCUGAGUCACUUGGCCCAACAAACAUGCCUUGUUUUUAGCCUCUUUUUUUUUUUUUCUUUAUCUUUAUCCUUAAGUUUUAAUUUAAUUUCCUUAAAAUUAAUUAUUUAAAAACAUAUUAAGGAUGUUAUUUUAGUAAAUACUUAAAUUAUUAAAAUUAUAUAUGAAAUAUUAUUUUAUUAAAUAUCAUUUAAUCUUUAAUUUAUUUUCAAAUAAAAUUAUAAUAUCAUUCUUAUAAUAUUAGUAUGAAUUGUUUUUCACAACCCAUCAUGAUUUUUUUUUAUCUGUACAUAUACGUUGUCAAAAAAUAUAAUAAUAGAUUCUAAAAAACAAUUAAGGAUACUAUUGAACUAUAAAAUGAUAAUUGAUUAAGAGCAUAUUAAAAAAUGUGAUAGAAAUUGUAUUUUAAAAUAGUUUUUAUUGGAAAUAUAUUAAAAAAUAUUUUUUUUAAUUUUAAAAAAUUUAUUUUUGAUAUCAAUAUAUUAAAACAAUCUAAAAUACUUUAAAAAUAUAUUAUUUUUUUAAAAUUUAAGCAAAUAGUAUUUUAAGCAGUACUAAACACCCCAUUUUACUAUAAACAAAAUCAUCAUAUUUUUAAUCUAUUUAUCACAUCAUGAAACAUCAUGAUGAUUAAUUAGCAAACACAACACCACCGUGUAGAAACCAUGUGUGACACUUCAAAUUCAUCGUAACAAAUUGAUCAAAUUAUAAAAUAAUCCUUAUACUUCUAAGAAAUUAGUAGCUCACUCCCUUUAUUUAAAAGAAGCCAUAUUUUACCUCCAUGUUAUCAUUUCCAUUUACUAUAACUUAGUUCUUCCUUUAGUUUUACAUUGUAAAAGUGCUAAACCAUCAUUUUAGGUAUUAGUUAAAAAAAAGUAUCUAUUAACAGAUUGACGGUCAAAGCUUCUCAAUUGAGUAACUUUUUUGUUUUUAAAAAACAGAAGGACUAACAUGUUGGUCUAUUGAAAAUGUAAGGAUUCAAUUAUAAUUUAAUUCAAGAAACAAAUAUGAUGCUAUUGACAUGUCCACAAGUCCACUGGCACAAUUAUUGCUUAUAACCCAUCACCUAUCAAUAGUGAUGGGGGAGGGGGGGGCCAGAAGUGUCCUUCUCCCGUAGGGUAAAAGCCCAGCAGUGUCCUCCCCCAUCGUAGGGUGGUCCAAACACAAGAUGGCUAGAGAUACUAAGAACCUGUUUGGUAUUGCGGUAGCUAUUAUGGUUGUGAUUUUAAAAAAGUUAUUUUAUAAAAAUUAUUUUUAGUUAAGGUUGGUUUAAUAAAAUAGGUGUUUGGUUAAAAUUGUGGUUGAAAUUGAGGUUGAACAAAAAGUAGUUUAAUGUGUUUGGUUAAUAAUGCUUUUGAAAUUGAGGUUAUAAAAUAAUUUUAAAAAAUAUAUAUUAAUAUUGAUGUUUUUUAAUUUAAAUAUUGUAGAUUUAACUAUUAUUAUUACAUCAUGAAAUAAAUCAUACUUUAUAUAAAAUAUUUUUUAUUGAUUCAUUAAACCAUCUACAUUUCUAUCACGUACGAAAUACAUCCGACAAGAACUACAGUUUUCAUAAUUUUUUAGCGUGUAAUAAAAUUAGAUAAAAUAUUAUCAUGUAUAAAACUAGUUUUUUUUUAAAAAAAAUGUUAAAAAAAUUAACACACUAAAAAAAAAGUGUCCACACAGUGCAAGUGAACAAUGCAAGAGAAUUGCACUGUUCACUAUUUUUAAGUGAACAGUGCACUUUUCUUGCACUGUUCACAUGAACAGUGCAUCACUAUGCACUGUUCAUGUUAAUUGAACAGUGCAAUUAACAUGAAUAGUGCAAAAAAAGUAAGGAAUUCUUGCUUUUUAAAUACUGCGUUUCCAACACAAAAAAGAAAUAGGAUCCAGUAAACAGUAUAUCUUUUUUUUUUAAUCAAACAACUACAAUUACGUUUUAAAUAAAACGCAACCGCAGUCACUGUGAUAAAAAUUAUUAUUAUCACCAUUAUUACCAUCAUAAUAAACUAUUAUUUUUAUUUUUAUUGCUGUUAUUGUUACUCUUAUUAUUAUUAUCAAAAAAUUUAUCAUCAUCAAUAAUAUUAUCACACCUAUUAAUAUCAUCAUCAUAAAUAAUAUUGUUAUUUUCAUUAUUAUUUUUAUUACUACUACUAUCAUCACUAUUUUUAUAACUAACAUUACUAUUAUUAUUUUUAUUUUUAUCACCACCAUCACCACCACAAGUCCACAACCACCACCACCACCAUUAUUGAAAAAGAAAAAACCUUAAACUUGAUUUGAAUAGAAUUGAAAACUAUAAAUUUUUUUAUAAAAAGACUAGGAAAAACAAUAAGAAAUUAAAAGAAUAUGGACCAAAUUGAAAUCAUUAUUAUUAUCAUUGGCAAAAUAAAAAAUUAUAAACUUGAUUUGAAGAAUAAAACUGAAAGUAAUAAAAACUUUGAUAAAAAAACAAAGAAAAAAAAUUAAAAAUUAAAAGAAAAGAAGACCGAAUAUAUACAAAUUAAAAAUCAAGGGUUAAAUUGAAAAAAAAACUUUCCCAAAAGGAAAAAUGAUCAAAAUACCAAAAUCAAAACUAAAAGAACUGAAUUUGAAAUACCAAUAACAAUGAGGUCCAUAGUGCUUUUCGGGGGGCAGGAAAAAAAACAAAAGGAAAAAAAAAGGAUCACUAGCAAUAAACCAAAUAUAUUUUAACUACACAAGCCACCUAUUAUAAAAGAGGAGACAGUGAGACAUCAAAUUACACAGCAGAAGGACAAUUUUUAUCAUUGGGAGUCGCUGCAUGCACCGUCCAAAUUACACAACAGCUCCCAUGUGAUGGCUCGUGUUGUGCACGUAGCAACAACUUUUUUAAAAUAAAAAAAUAUUAUUUAAAUGUUAAAUUGCAUUACUAUCCUCAACCAAAUCAACAAUUAACAAAAAAAAAAACAAGAGUAAAAGACCCUAAUACCCUUGAUCCCAAUGAAUUAAUUUUUUUAGAUCCAAGGGUACAUGUGUAAUUUCACUAUGUAUUAAAAAUAAAAAAUACCUAUAUACUCCUAUAUGAAACUAUUGAUUUUUUUUACUCCUAGAGGUAUUUUUUUUAUUUUAUUUUUCAUUAAAUAUUAAAAAUAUAAAAAUGCCCUCAAACAAACCUCUAAUAAUUAAUAUUCUGUGUGAAAUUACCAAAAUACCUCUGAAUCAAAGGUAAAUAAUUUUUUUUAAGGCUAUAGACAUUAUUUCACUAUUGUAAUGGAUAGUAAUAUGACUCUAUAGCCAUAAUGAAUUUGCCUUUUUUUUAGUAUUUUUUUUAUAAUUAGUCAACUAUACUUCAAGACUUGGCUGGUGUCAGGUGAUGACAAAGAUAUAAUGAUGUAUAUUAGAUGCUUAUAUAAAUCUCUUGUUUUUUUAAAAAAAAUGAAAAACAUAUUCCAUUUUGUAAUCUUUUUUUUUUCCGUUUGUAUCAUAGUUUUUAAACCCGACCUGGUGGUCGACCCAGUAUAAUAAUUGGGUCACGGGUCAGAUGGGUUGACUCGGGUUAAUAAAAAAAAAAAUAAUUUCUUGCUUGCCCUUGGACUAAUAAUAAUAAUAAGCAUCAUUGAAAAAAAGAAAAGUUUCUAGAGAAUAACCCUGCUUGCCACUCAUGUUUGACCAGAUCCAAAACCAAACAUUGAUUGCCCUUAUAUAAUUAGCACAAUCACCCUCACAACACAGUACACACAAAUCCCUACCCCGCUCUUUACAAACCACCUUCCCGCCACCUCCACAGCCACCACAAGCCCACCAUCACCUUCUCAAUUUUGGGAUUCAAAGUUCCUUCUCAAAGGCGUAGAAGAGAUUACGAAAUACAAGAGCAAUGCCUACCUUCACAACCACAACUAUUAUGUCAUCUCAAAGCAGCAACCUUAGUCUCCACAAACUCAAGAUUAACCCAAAAACACAAUCAAACAUAGUCACAAUUGGUGGGUGAAUUUUUCAAACAACAGACUAAACCCUAACUCAAGCAGAUCUGAAAUCCCUCUUUUCCUAACUCUCCAAGCUGAAUCAACUUGUUCCCUAUUUCAUCAAUCGAGACCCUAAUUUAUUCUCUAUUCUCUUAUCCCUCUUGAGAACCGGAAAUCUCCCCUCAAAGACCAAGUUUUCUGUGAAGAGUCAAAGUUUUACAAGAUUGAAGAGAUUAGUUUUCUGUGAUUCUGUAUUUAUGUUACAAAUGAUUUGAAGCAAAAGAAUUAAUUUGAUUGCUGCAACUCUCAUCUUAAUUUAUUAGAGAAGAAAAAUCGAGCUAAAACCGUGAAGCCUAGUUUAAAUGAACGAACAAUUAACUUUUAUACGUGGGAUCUUGCACGUGAAGCCUAGGAAAGGGCAAUGGCCAAAUAGAGAGACCCUGUUUUUAGAGGGGAGGAAAAUAGAAUUUUUAAAUACAAUAACUAUCAUUUGGCAAUUAACGGUAUCUUCUGAGUUGUGACUUUUCCGCAAUCAAAAGCACAAUUGAUUUUUAUUAAGUUUUUUUAAAAAUUUCAACUCUCACCCGCACAAUAAUAUUUUUAAUAAUCAAUCCAUCUCAAAUUAUUAAAAAAAAUUAAAUACAAAAUAAAUUCUAAGUAAUUUUGAAAAAAUAACAAAAAAAUUCUAAAUAAAAUAAAAAAAAUAUCUUAAUUCAAUUAGGUAAGCAUAAUAGCUUAUGGUUUUUUUCGUAAUGCCUUCUCAAUAUCUAAUUGAUAUUAUAUUUUAACUUUAUAUGAAAUUUUUUACUCAAUUCAAUAAUCAAAUCAAAAGUUAUAUCUAUUAACAUAAAACUAUAUAUUAGAAAAACAAGCUCAAUUCACGUGUGAGUAGGAAAAAAAAUUGAAUCCAUAAGUCUUGUAAUAAAUAAGACCCAAAUAUCUUAAAUUAACCAUUAAAUGCCUUUUUAACCUUCUUAGCUCCUAACUCCUAACUUUUUAAUAGAUCCAAUUGGCACAUGUAUUAGAUCAUGUAGUAUUGCUUGAUAAGUCUCAACAACAAUUUUUCAAUUCAUCCAAAUUGAUAAGAAGAAAAAUAAAUGAAAUAUGGAAAACCACUCUCUAUAAAGAAAAUGACAAUAAAAUCUUCCAUCAAACUCUUAACCAUCUCAUUGCAAAAAACCCUCUCGUCGGUCGUCGAAACCACCAAAAUAUAAUUCUGACUUAAUUAUCACAAACAAAAUAAAUUUAUAGUAUGAUCGUGAAAACCAGGUCAAACUCAAGGAAAAUUUUGUUUAAUCUUCCUACAAUAUACUGAAAUGAGAAAGAAUGAGAGAUUUGGAUGAAAAAUUCAAGAAACAAUAAUUCUGAAAAUAAUAAAUUGAUGUCGUUAAAUCAGUUCAAGGAUCCACACAUUCAUUCCUAUAAAUCUGUUGAUCAUCGAAGUAAAAUAAAUAUUCUUUCGCAUCAAACAAAUAAACUCGAUAUCCCUUAAAGCUGAGGAAAAUCGAUGAGAUUAUAAGUUCAUUAAUUAGAAAAAGCUCUUUAAUUAAUUUCUUACCAUCAAAGGAAUGUAAUAUUGAAAGCAAUUUUCAUUUACUCGGUAGUAGUCUUAGAAAUAAAAUCUAUGCAUUUAUUCUAAGCAAACAUUCAAAAGAUUGACAAUUUUAACUUAGUUUAUUCUUCUCUAAUAAAUUAAGAUGAGAGUUACAGCAAUCAAAUUAAUUCUUUUGCUUCUUACUCUAGUUCCUAACAACAAUUACGGAUUGAAAAAAACUAGAAAGCAUACAUGCCAUCUCAAAACAAUUCAAUAAGCUUGAAUAACAAUCAAUAACAUAAUUCUGAACAAGAAAAAAUGAAUACUUGAAUAUGAUAGAAUUACAAUGAUAAUGUUACUUCUCACAACAUGUUAAUGGAGAUGGUGUGUAUCCCUCUUGAACCUAAUUCAGGAGUUUAGUUCAUAGUUGCUGAAAAAUUGACAAAAGCAGAGAAGAAAGGAAUGUUUUUCGACUCUUGUUUCAGCUGUGUUCUGCUUUCUUUAUCCUCCCCAUAUGCUACCGAAAUCUUCAGGAUUCUUAAACUAAUUAGGAGUCUUCAUGAUAUUAAAUUCGUUCCUUCUUUAUCUGGUCUUUAAGGUUGGAUAAAUCUCUCAGAAUUUAUCUUGAAAUCUGCUUCUGCUGUUAUCAUAAUUUUAUUGUAAUACCAACUCUGUUGUAAUUUAGACUUCGAUUCUGACUUGGUUUCUUGUAAUAUCCGACCAUUCCAACUAUAUUCUUUCAUUCAUGACAUGUUAAAGGCUUGAUCUGCACCUUUCUUGGGUCCUAAGACCCAUCUUUUUUAUGUCAGACUCUCAGCCUUAUUGGGAUACUCGGCACCAUUAGUUUCCAAAUCAGAUCAGGGGACCCAUUUUGACCAACCAGAUUGUGUCCAUAUUCUGUCCUUCAAAUCGAUUUUAUCUAACUUUAAGUCUUUCAUGAAAGUUGUAAUCCUGGAUGUGUAGAUGAAUUUUGGUUUUGAAUCACCUACUUUCGAUAUCAAAAACUCAAGAUAUUCCCGUUUGAAUCUCUAGUGUAAAAGCAGAGAAUCCUGCUGCGAGAAGAACUCUGGCCCGAGUUUGCAGGUCUGAUUCGAGGUCCAAAUGAGAUCGGAAUUUUGCCCAUAAUACUUUCCUGGAAAGCUUGACACGUGUACUUCAACUUAGAAUAGCCCACCUUCUCAUUUUAGAACUCUAACUUGACAAAAAACUUGUCACAAGAAGCUAGGUCUAAAACAUAAAAUGCAAAAUUUCUUAUGUUUUAACGAUUAAUUCACGAAGUCUCUUCUGCAUGUCAAACUCAUAAAAAUAACUUCCAAUCAACUCAAAUAAGUUCAAAAUACAUUAAAAAGCAUAGUGCAAAUGGAAUAAAAACUAUGUAUAUUUUGCACUUAUCAUCCUUACAAACAUAGCAUAAGCAGUUAUCUCAAAUUUCAUACCAUUAUUUUGUCAAUUUUUUGCACAAUCAAUAUCCCUGACAUGACUUGAUGUCAAACUUGUUGUUAAUGACUUAAUAGAUAACAAGACUAAGAAAUUUUGAUCUUUCAUCUUCAUAAUUUUGAAAAUAAAUCUAUUAAAAAGUUAUGUAUGUUAUGUUGACAAGUCAACAAAACAAUGCAUAACUACUGAGUUUUUCAAACUAAAACUCCAUAGAUAUAUACAUGUGAAAUCCCCGAUGCUAAAUGAAAUCAUAAAAGAAAGAUCUCAUAGAGUAAUUUCCAGGAACAUUUUUCAUGCAAUAAAUAAAGUAAGAGGUUGGUAUUUUUGUGUGUGUGUAUUUAGUCAUUUAAAAGUUAGAACAUAAUAAGAUUAAUAGACAAUGCAUUACAGUAAACUAGCAAUUGGUAAACUCAAAAGAUGCAAGACUUUCCACAAUGCCUCUGGUCUUCGAUUUCAGUAAAUAUCCAAGGCUACAAAACACAUUGAAUAUUAUUCUAAAAGAAAAUCUUGAUUUUAAGGAAAUGAGGAUAUGAUUUGGUAACAAUUACUUAAAAUGUUGAAAUUAACAAGUCAAAGCUCCAUACUCUUAAUUUUAGAAACCGUUUCAAUUUUUUUUUUGCUAAAAUUUAAUAUGUAUUAUAUGUUUUGAAUCGUUUUGAUGUACUGAUGUUAAAAAUAAUUUUUUAAAAAUGAAAAAACAUCAUUGGCAUGCAUUUCAGCAUAAAAAGUUAUUUGAAAAGCAACCGCAACCACACUGCAAAACAUACCCACCAAUGCAACUUUAACUAUCAUGCAUGAAGAAAUCUUAGGGCAAUUAGACUUGCGUUUAUUCAAAUCUACAUAUGAAAAAAAAAUCCCCAUUUCCUAAAACUCGCAAAGAUCUAGCACUUUGAUGCAUUAUUAUAAAUCCAAAUCGGCAAGCUUGCUAUAACAUUGCUUACAUGAUCGCCCAUGAAUUAUCACAGCAAUUAGCUCCCUAGUUUCCAAUAUUCGCAAUUAAUGAGUCAAUAUGGUUUUUUCCUUUGAAACAACUUGUCCACGUGAAUCACAUCUGCAUAAGAAAAGACAAUAUAAGCCAUAAAAAUUGAUCUAUACCAUAACCAGUCCUGAUAUUGACAAAGGAAAGUUAAAGGCUACAUUUGCAAGCUAUAUUCAUCAAACAUGUUACAACGUGUUGAAUUAGUAAGAUGUAAAUCCUUUAGCAAAGAAAACAAUAAGAUGGUUAAACAUGCGGGCUUGCCGAGCCACCUUUACCUGUUUUAAGUCUUUAUUUUUAUCUUUUGGAUAUUUUCCUUAAAUUUUAAUUAUAUUUCAUUAAAACUAAUCAUUUAAAAAUAUAUUAGCUUAAAUUAAUUAAGAAUAUAUUUGGGGUAUUAUUUUAUUAAAUAUCAUUCAAUUUUUACUUUUCUUUAUACAACCUAUCGUGAUUUUUUUUAAUUUAUUCCGACGAGUAAUUAUUUUUAUUAUGAUAUAAUUAAAUGAAAAAUAAGCUUAAAAAAUAGAUUUAUUAAACCAAGCUAGGUUUAAUAUGGGUUGAACCAAGUCAAUUCAAAAUAUUAUCAUCUUAAUAUUAGAAAAACAUCACCAAUAAAUUUCACAUAAUAACACGCAAAUAGUAUGUUGUUCUUAUGUUUUGUUUCAAUUGAAUUUAAAUUGUUUCUCUUCUUCUAAAAACAUUAUUGCCAUAUAAUCAAAUAAAAAAAACUAAAGAGUUAUUAAUGAUUUAAAAUAAGAUAUAUAUAUAUAUAUAUAUAUAUAUAUAUAUAUUUAUUAGCUUCCUAAAUUAUUUUUUAGUUAAUGUUAAUGAUUUUUUAACAUUUAUUUGCAUAUAAUUUUCAAUCAAUUUUACUAGAUAAAUAUAUGGAGUUCAUAAUAAUUAUUUUUAUUAGAAAAUUUAUUGAAAAUAUAUAAUGUUCUUUUUUAAAAUUAAAAAAAAUAAAAUUAAGUUGACAUGUGCCGGAGCGCAAGCCUCCUAGCCGCUACUCUUCACUGGGACCAUUGAGUGGUUGGUCUAGAUAAUAUCGAUGUCGUCGUUGUAGUUUCCUGAGUCACUGGCUCUUCAAGAAUAAAUUAUUAGCAUACAUAAUAUCGAUGUCGUCUUUGUAGUUUCCUCGACGCGUCACUGGCUCUUCAAGAAUAAUUAUUAGUAUAGAUAUUUUUAUGUUUUUAAAAUAUUUUAAAAAAAAAUUAUUUUUUUAUUUUAAAUUAAUUUAUUUUAGUGUUUAUAGAAUUGAUUUGAUGUGUUAAUAUUAAAAAUAAUUUUUUAAAAAUAAAAAAAUUGUUUUAUUAUAUUUACAAGAUAAAAAUAUUUUCAAAAACAAUUGUAAUUAUAUUUUUAUAAGCCCCAUAUAUUCACCUAGCUAUAUGUUGUUUGAGAGUGGGUACAAAUAAAGAUUUGUUAAAAAUUAAUUUUUUAUUUUAUUUAAAAUUAAUUUUUUAUUUUUAGAUUAUUUCAAUAAGUUAAUAUCAAAAUAAAUUUUAAAUAAUAAUAAAAUAUUAUUUUAAAGUAUUUUUACAUACCUUGUACUAGAUUCACAGUAUCAAGAGAAGAAGGGUUGCUAGUUGCUACCGGAGAAGUUAGUUUCAUUGAUUGAUGGAAUGUUAUACUUUAGAAAUCAAAUAAUAUGGUGUCACGAGAAUUAAGCAAAUAGAAAAGCAUUAAAUUUAUGGAAAUCCUUUCCUGUUCUGCGAGGGGAAGGAGUUAGUGGUCUUGAUGUAGUUGUUGGCUUUGCUAACUUUUCCUGUUUUCUAUUAAAGUGUGGUUGUAGUUAUUUUUAAAAAUAUUUUUUUGUGUUGAAAUAUAUCAAAAUAAUAUAUUUUUUAUUUUUUAAAAAUUAUUUUUAAAAUUAGCGCAUCAAAACGAUACAAAACACAUAAAAAAAUUAAUUUUUAAUAAAAAAAUAGAAAUUUCUAGAAACACAAUUUAUUCGCGUUCCGAAACGGUGCCAUAACGGUUGCUUGGAUUGGAAAUUCUUGUUUCUUUUACGGUGGAGUUACAAUGGUUUCAUUGUAUAAUGUUCGUUAAGUCACAAUCAGCCCAGUUUUUGUAUUUAAUCAGCAUUACAAUUACAGGAAUAUUUGCUCCAGAGGUGAAGCUGGUUCUUCAUCCAGCCAAAUAGAAACAAAGAGAGCGGCACAAUGGCAUCAUGCAUAGCAUUUUCCUUUAGGAAUGACAAAACCCUCAUAUCAAGUGAUUGAGCUAUGAGAACAACCAUCAACCAUGGAUUCCCAAGUUUCAAAUGGAUUCACAAAAACACACAGAGCUGUUUAUUUAUUUUUCGUAUCCAAAUACAGGACAUGAAAACCCUUUCAGCCUCACACUUCUUAGAUACAUAACGACAACAGGAGAGACAUCCCCACUAUAUUCACACACAUGCAACAAACAUCUUCCAUUGCAUACUUACUACAGCAGAAAGCCCAUAAAACCCGACACAAGCAGCGCUUGCCUGCUUAAGCUCUGCGGCACGCAUCUCCAUCGCAGUUCCAUCCUUCCUUUCCCUUUUCAGUUCCAGUAUCUUCAUCUUCCUUCAAAGCACACUUAGGGUGAAGAUCAAAGUCACAUUGUUUGCAAUGGAAAGACCACCUAUUUCCAGUUUCCCCACAGCCAUCGCAAAUAUAUGUUUUGCGUUUAGUACGUAUCAGCUCAUGCUCAGUAUGAAGUUCGUGUUUCACUUUCUCUGGCCACCCCUUUGCCUUUUCCUCAAGCUCCUCCUCCAAUUGCUUUAGAUGUUCCUCGGUAAAUGGAAAAGCAUCUGCCCCGUAAGCUGUCAAGUGCAUCCGAGCUUCCUUGGUAAUGGUCCGGCCACUUGGGCCAAUCGCUACAGCUGCAGGAAUGCCUUGAAUUUUGAAUUUCCGACUCAGGAUUUGUUUCCUUCCAUCACCAAAUGGAAGGGCUAACCAAGGCAUUUCUGAAUAGAACUCGUCAAAGGUGGUUUGAUCGCUGUCACUUGAGAUGAAGAUCACCUCAAAUGCAUUGUCUUUUGCUUUAAUUGCGUGGUAUGCUUCAAUUAGCUUGGGUAAAAAGGCACGACAAGGAGGGCACCAUUGAGCUGAGAAGUAAAGAAGAAUGUUCUUUCCAACUAGAUCGGACACUGGGACCUAAUCAAAGAGUAAACCAUUUGAAUGAUAAAAAAAACCUUUGCUAAUGAAUUCAAUUCGUGAUAAUAAGAAAGUUAUUGAAAGUAAUGCAAUAACAACAUG
RNAcentral lists this long non-coding RNA (18334 nucleotides) under Populus trichocarpa (black cottonwood). RNAcentral's name for it is "long non-coding RNA (PTRI_LNC002468)". Lineage: Eukaryota; Viridiplantae; Streptophyta; Magnoliopsida; Malpighiales; Salicaceae. The record is from RNAcentral.